RNAcentral lists this small RNA (490 nucleotides) under Pan troglodytes (chimpanzee). RNAcentral describes it as "processed transcript". The record is from RNAcentral. Lineage: Eukaryota; Metazoa; Chordata; Mammalia; Primates; Hominidae.
ACAGUCUCCAGCCUGAAGCGGAAGUGGAGAAAAGAUGGAGGACCAUCAGCACGUGCCCAUCGACAUCCAGACCAGCAAGCUGCUCGAUUGGCUGGUGGACAGAAGGCACUGCAGCCUGAAAUGGCAGAGUCUGGUGCUGACGAUCCGCGAGAAGAUCAAUGCUGCCAUCCAGGACAUGCCAGAGAGCGAAGAGAUCGCCCAGCUGCUGUCUGGGUCCUGUGAGUGCUUAGGGGCUGUCACUGGAGUCCCCUCUUUGCUGAGGUAACAUUCACUACUUUCACUGCCUAAGAAUCCUGGACCUUCUCAAAGGCACAGAGGCCUCCACGAAGAAUAUUUUUGGCCGAUACUCUUCACAGCGGAUGAAGGAUUGGCAGGAGAUUAUAGCCCUGUAUGAGAAGGACAACACCUACUUAGGCUCCACAGCUGGGAACAAGUGGGGCUGGGAAGCUGACUUCGUGCUCUUCACCACCACAAAGGGUGUGUGUGCAUC